Passer domesticus (house sparrow) is the source of this 692-nucleotide long non-coding RNA. RefSeq lists it as uncharacterized. NCBI's taxonomy places the organism in Eukaryota, Metazoa, Chordata, Aves, Passeriformes, Passeridae. The record is from RefSeq and is a predicted model, not a curated record. The transcript has 4 exons.
CCAGGGCCGAGCAGGUGCUCGUGGUGCUGCUGGAGGUGCCACGGGAGCAGUUCCAGGAGGGGCUGAGCCCCCUGGUCAGGGAACGGCUGCACUUCCGGGACCUUUUCGGGGACCCCCUGGGCUGGCUGGGCCGGGCGCCCCCGGGCCCGGGGGGGCUCCUGGGGGGGGCGCUGGGGGGGCUGCCCCGCCCCCCGGGGGGGUCCCGGACCCUCGUGCUGGACUCGCUGAGCUGGGCCCUGCUGCGGGAGCCCCUCCCCGCCUCUGCCGCGGGCUGGGGGCGCUGCUGGGGGGGGCUCCCCCCCACGAGCCCCCUCCCCGAAUUGUGGCGCUGCUGCACCAGGACCUGCACCCCCCCCCAGUUUUGGGGGCUCUCGGGGGUCUCGCCCGGGCCCAGCUGAUCCUGGGGGGGCCCCCCGAGACCCCCGGAGCCCCCCGGAGGCUGAGGCUGCUCAGGGGACCCCCAGAAAGGGGGGGGACCCCUCCAGGAGACCCUCACCCUCCUCCCCGACGGUUCCUUGGGGGGGCCCCCCCAGCCCGACCCCCCCCCGACCCUUGGGGACCCCUCCCCAAAUUGGGGAGAGCCCAAAAAGCCCCAAAACUCCCCAAAUUUGGGGGUGGACCCCCGUGACCUUCCGCCUGGGGCUGUCGGGGGCCGAGCGGGGGGCGAGGGCGGCCCUGACCCCCCCGUACCU